RNAcentral lists this long non-coding RNA (620 nucleotides) under Trifolium pratense (red clover). Its description in RNAcentral is "long non-coding RNA (TPRA_LNC010110)". Lineage: Eukaryota; Viridiplantae; Streptophyta; Magnoliopsida; Fabales; Fabaceae. The record is from RNAcentral.
GAAAUGUGAAUGAUUGGUUUUGUUCUUUGGUUUACUUGCUCGAAACAAAGAAGGGGAGAACUCAGGUCCCCACAGUCGGCGCCACUGAUCUUAGCUGUUGAUCAGAACAGGUAGGAGGCCAGCUGGAAGUCCGUUGAGCAGAUGGUAGGCAGUAAUCCGAGCAGAUGGUCCACGGAGGGGGGGGUUGUACCUGCAGGUGCUCCGAUGCCUAAGUCAGUAAAGGAAUAUAGAGAGCAAAGAGGUACUUAGAGAGAGGUUAGAGAGAGAGGGAGUAAUUGCAAAUAUGAAUAGUGUCUACCUUGCUCUCCCAAGAGGGAGAGUAUUUAUAGCCCCCAGCUCUGGGCCAAAGGUCCUCUUAGUGGGUUGGACUGGCCAAGGCCCAUUAAGAGGGACUGCCAAGAUAUCACCCUUAGAUGGUGGGUAGAGUAGUAAUUUUACCCUAUCUUGGUGGAGAGGUUGUGCCAUGCUGACAUGGAGAUGAUUGGGCAAGCCAUGUGGACUUUGUGAGGGUCUAGGUGGACUAGCAUUAGUCUAGUCCAGAACAGAAGUUGCACAAGGCUUCGCACACCAGCUUGAGGAUUCUGGCUUUGCUCCCACAUUGCUCAAAUUAGGAGCCUUAA